Molecule: non-coding RNA, 41 nt
Filed under: Trypanosoma brucei brucei
Lineage: Eukaryota; Euglenozoa; Kinetoplastea; Trypanosomatida; Trypanosomatidae
Source: RNAcentral
ACAAACAGAUACAGAAGCCAACGAGAAAGAAAGUGAAAUUU